This 355-nucleotide ribosomal RNA is filed under the name Clostridioides difficile. RNAcentral's name for it is "bacterial LSU rRNA". It matches the Rfam family "Bacterial large subunit ribosomal RNA", at positions 1769 to 2123 of the family's 2925-position model. Lineage: Bacteria; Bacillati; Bacillota; Clostridia; Peptostreptococcales; Peptostreptococcaceae. The record is from RNAcentral.
UCAGGUGGCCGCAGAGAAUAGGCCCAAGCGACUGUUUACCAAAAACAUAGGUUUCUGCUAAGUCGCAAGACGAUGUAUAGGAGCUGACGCCUGCCCGGUGCUGGAAGGUUAAGGGGAUCUGUUAGAGCAAUCGAAGCAGUGAACUUAAGCCCCAGUAAACGGCGGCCGUAACUAUAACGGUCCUAAGGUAGCGAAAUUCCUUGUCGGGUAAGUUCCGACCCGCACGAAAGGCGUAACGAUUUGGGCACUGUCUCAACAACAGACUCGGUGAAAUUGUAAUUCCGGUGAAGAUGCCGGAUACCUGCGACAGGACGGAAAGACCCCAUGGAGCUUUACUGUAGCUUGACAUUGGGUG